AUUGAACGCUGGCGGCAUGCCUUACACAUGCAAGUCGAACGGUAACGGGCCUUCGGGUGCCGACGAGUGGCGAACGGGUGAGUAAUGCAUCGGAACGUACCUUUCAGUGGGGGAUAACGUAGCGAAAGUUACGCUAAUACCGCAUAUUCUGUGAGCAGGAAAGCAGGGGAUCGCAAGACCUUGCGCUGAUUGAGCGGCCGAUGUCAGAUUAGCUAGUUGGUGAGGUAAAGGCUCACCAAGGCGACGAUCUGUAGCGGGUCUGAGAGGAUGAUCCGCCACACUGGAACUGAGACACGGUCCAGACUCCUACGGGAGGCAGCAGUGGGGAAUCUUGGACAAUGGGCGAAAGCCUGAUCCAGCGACGCCGCGUGGAGGAAGAAGUCCUUCGGGAUGUAAACUUCUGAACUAGCCGAAUAAAAGGCCUGUGGACACACAGGAGAAGAAAGUAGGCUAGGAAAAGUCCCGGCUAACUACGUG
RNAcentral lists this ribosomal RNA (477 nucleotides) under uncultured bacterium. RNAcentral's name for it is "bacterial SSU rRNA". It matches the Rfam family "Bacterial small subunit ribosomal RNA", at positions 30 to 507 of the family's 1533-position model. The record is from RNAcentral.